Molecule: transfer RNA, 64 nt
Filed under: Proasellus hercegovinensis
Lineage: Eukaryota; Metazoa; Arthropoda; Malacostraca; Isopoda; Asellidae
Description: transfert RNA-S2(TCA)
Source: RNAcentral
AGCUAUUUAGCUAUAUUUAUAAGUAAAUGUUUUGAAAGCAUUUGAAAAUUAUUUUUAAUAGCUA